GACGAACGCUGGCGGCGUGCUUAACACAUGCAAGCCGAACGAUGAAGCUGGAGCUUGCUCUAGCGGAUUAGUGGCGAACGGGUGAGUAACACGUGAGCAAUCUGCCCUUGACUCUGGGAUAACUGCGGGAAACUGUAGCUAAUACCGGAUACUUUCACCGGGGGGCAUCCUCUGGUGAUGAAAGAAUUUCGGUCAAGGAUGAGCUCGCGGCCUAUCAGCUUGUUGGUGAGGUAACGGCUCACCAAGGCGACGACGGGUAACCGGCCUGAGAGGGUGACCGGUCACACUGGGACUGAGACACGGCCCAGACUCCUACGGGAGGCAGCAGUGGGGAAUAUUGCACAAUGGGCGCAAGCCUGAUGCAGCAACGCCGCGUGAGGGAUGAUGGCCUUCGGGUUGUAAACCUCUUUUAGCAGGGAAGAAGCGAAAGUGACGGUACCUGCAGAAAAAGCACCGGCUAACUACGUGCCAGCCGCCGCCGUAA
Molecule: ribosomal RNA, 484 nt
Filed under: uncultured bacterium
Lineage: Bacteria
Description: partial 16S ribosomal RNA
Rfam family: Bacterial small subunit ribosomal RNA
Source: RNAcentral